This 56-nucleotide transfer RNA is filed under the name Bos taurus (domestic cattle). It matches the Rfam family "tRNA", at positions 8 to 63 of the family's 71-position model. Rfam says of the family: Transfer RNA (tRNA) molecules are approximately 80 nucleotides in length. Their secondary structure includes four short double-helical elements and three loops (D, anti-codon, and T loops). The record is from Rfam by way of RNAcentral. Lineage: Eukaryota; Metazoa; Chordata; Mammalia; Artiodactyla; Bovidae. RNAcentral also lists the same sequence under 5 other names.
UAGCUCAGUUGGUAAAGAAUCUGCCUGCAAUGCAGGAGAUCAGGGUUCAAUCCCUG